UGGCUCAGAGCGAACGCUUGGCGGCAGGCCUAACACAUGCAAGUCGAACGAACCCUUCGGGGUUAGUGGCGGACGGGUGAGUAACACGUGGGAACGUACCUUUAGGUUCGGAACAACACAGGGAAACUUGUGCUAAUGCCGAAUGUGCCCUUCGGGGGAAAGAUUUAUCGCCUUUAGAGCGGCCCGCGUCUGAUUAGCUUGUUGGUGAGGUAAAGGCUCACCAAGGCUUCGAUCAGUAGCUGGUCUGAGAGGAUGAUCAGCCACACUGGGACUGAGACACGGCCCAGACUCCUACGGGAGGCAGCAGUGGGGAAUCUUGCGCAAUGGGCAAAAGCCUGACGCAGCCAUGCCGCGUGAAUGAUGAAGGUCUUAGGAUUGUAAAAUUCUUUCACCGGGGAAGAUAAUGACGGUACCCGGAGAAGAAGCCCCGGCUAACUUCGUG
This 442-nucleotide ribosomal RNA is filed under the name uncultured bacterium. RNAcentral describes it as "bacterial SSU rRNA". It matches the Rfam family "Bacterial small subunit ribosomal RNA", at positions 20 to 507 of the family's 1533-position model. The record is from RNAcentral.